Mercenaria mercenaria is the source of this 849-nucleotide long non-coding RNA. RefSeq lists it as uncharacterized. Lineage: Eukaryota; Metazoa; Mollusca; Bivalvia; Venerida; Veneridae. The transcript is spliced from 2 exons. The record is from RefSeq and is a predicted model, not a curated record.
CUCCUAAGUUGAAAAACGGGCAUAAUUUUGUAAAAUGCGAAGUUGAGUUAUUGACCCUUUGCACUGCAUGUCAUAUCAUGACAGUCAACAAGUGUGUGAAGUUUCAAUCCUUUCCCAUUAGUGGAUACUGAGAUACCAGCUUACAUACAAAAACUUAACCAAAAAUUUCUAUGUUGAAAAAGGGGCAUAAUUUUGUAAAAAAGCAAAAUAAAGUUAUGGGACCUGCUUUGUGCAUGUCAGAUCAAGACAGUGAACCAAAAAAAUUAUGAUUCAUUUUGUCAAGUCAUUGAAACAUGUCAUUGUAACUUAUGUUUCAUUUCAGGCUCUUUCAUCACUCUUCUCCCUUGAAGAAGACCAGGCGGAUAUUGAAUGGGCACUGGCGAAAGCCACCCUUACCACAGAUGAACACUUUGAGCACCAUGGAGUGGAUUAUUGGUAAUCUGUCCGAGUCUCACCCAAACCUGAGCAAAGUCACUACAGUGGGACUGCUUCUACCAACCUCCACAGCUGAUUGUGAGAGAGGUUUCAGCAGUUGAAUGUGUAAAGACCACCCACCAUUCACCGGUGAGCAUGAAAGUGCUUAAUGCCUUACUCAUGGUGUCCAUGCAGGGACAAAAAUUGAAUGACUUUAAUUUCAGUGGUGCAGUAAAGGAAUGGCACAGAGCCAAAGACAGACACUUACCGGUAUAUGAAAACAAAAAUGCUUAUGUGUUGUUAGUGUUAGUACAAAAGAAGUGGAAGGACAUAUGUGUUGUUCGAAAAUACAUAUAAAAGAAGUGGACAUCGGUGUAGUGUAUAUGAUAUAUUGAUGGUUAUAUGAUUAUGUAAAAAUGUAUAAGUAAUGAAAUA